RNAcentral lists this ribosomal RNA (460 nucleotides) under uncultured bacterium. RNAcentral describes it as "partial 16S ribosomal RNA". It matches the Rfam family "Bacterial small subunit ribosomal RNA", at positions 338 to 795 of the family's 1533-position model. The record is from RNAcentral.
CCUACGGGAGGCAGCAGUGAGGAAUAUUGGUCAAUGGACGAGAGUCUGAACCAGCCAAGUAGCGUGAAGGAUGACUGCCCUAUGGGUUGUAAACUUCUUUUAUAUGGGAAUAAAAUGUUCCACGUGUGGGAUUUUGUAUGUACCAUAUGAAUAAGGAUCGGCUAACUCCGUGCCAGCAGCCGCGUUAAUACGGAGGAUCCGAGCGUUAUCCGGAUGUAUGGGGUUUAAAGGGAGCGUAGGUGGAUUGUUAAGUCAGUUGUGAAAGUUUGCGGCUCAACCGUAAAAUUGCAGUUGAAACUGGCAGUCGUGAGUACAGUAGAGGUGGGCGGAAUUCGUGAUGUAGCGGUGAAAUGCUUAGAUAUCACGAAGAACUCCGAUUGCGAAGGCAGCUCACUGGACUGCAACUGACACUGAGGCUCGAAAGUGUGGGUAUCAAACAGGAUUAGAUACCCUUGUAGUC